Long non-coding RNA from Lepidothrix coronata (blue-crowned manakin), 3317 nucleotides. RefSeq lists it as uncharacterized. The record is from RefSeq and is a predicted model, not a curated record. NCBI's taxonomy places the organism in Eukaryota, Metazoa, Chordata, Aves, Passeriformes, Pipridae. The transcript has 14 exons.
AUUAUUCACACAAAUUCUGGGCAGUCUUCUGGCUUUUAAAUACUUCCUCGAAUGACUUGGUGAAAAAUGAGGAGCCAAGCAGGGUGCUGUUAGAAGCAAUGAGCCUUGUGAAAGCACUCAGAUGCCAUCCUGAUAACAGCCCGAGAAAAGCUCACAAGAAAAUCAGCAAUUGUGUCUUCCAAGCAGAUAUAAGUCGUGCAUGUGCAAAAGGAUACCUGUGCCUAAAAAGAAACAAAAUCUGAAUUCCAAAAUGGAUGUUGUUCAAUGAAAUGUGCAGGAUCUUAAAUCUUGGCUCUGUUGAAGACAUGCUUCUUGGUACCUGGAUUCUGGAGUAUCUUCUCAGUGGAAAGGAACAUGGAGUUCCCAAUUCCCUCACAUGGUGUCUGAUGCAAGUAAAGGAGUUUGCAGAUCUGAAGAUCUUUUUGAGGUGUGAUGUUCCUGUGGUGCUGUUCUCCCUCUGGGCAGUGAUGCACAGCAGGGACUUAUCCAGAUGAUCUGAGGAGGAGCCACCUCACCAGUGUAAGACUGUAAGAGCUUCUUCACCCUGUUUUGGUCCAAGUUCCUGAGCUGAUAUCUCUGGACAUGUUGCUCAUCAAACACCCCAGCUCUCCUCAGUAACAUUGCUGCUGUCAGCCAGCCAGUAACCUCUGCUCUGGCCAUCAAACAUCACCACUAAAAGUUCAAGACAGAUCUCCCCUCUAGUGUCACACAGAUCUGGCCCUUCCUUUCCUGGAGCCUGUCACACAGUGAUGGGACCCGACUGCCUCCUGGGCACCACACAGUUCCCUGCAUUUCAGAAUCUCAGCUGGAUCCUUGAUAGCUGGACACAACUGCUUCCCUGCCCUGAAACUGGAGCAAGAAGAGCCAGGACACCACCCCCAUGCCCUGCUUGUCCUGGCAGAGGGAGAGGAUGCUGUUUGCCUGAACGUUCCCUUCAGUGUGCAGCAGGUCUAAAGAUGUGACAACCACUUUGGUAUGUCCUCUGCCAUUCUGUGUGACAUAGCCCACUUGGGAAUUUGCAACCCUGAAGAUCUGCCCCUUACAAGAUUCCUGCAGGAAACACACAGAAGAACAAAACUUUGGAUUAUGCCUGUGAUGGGAAAAGCUGCAGCGAUGACUGACUGGAAAGGCUGAUCCUUCUCACACCAAAUACCACUGCCUUGCUACCAGAUGGAGGCAACACGUUCAGCUGCAAAACCAAAAGCAGGACCCAGCAGGUCCCGACCUGCGGCGACAGGAGCGGCUCUGCCUGGGACUGAACCCCCAACUGCAGCUUCUCCACUUCCAGCUCCUGGAAAGAUGGGAAGCCCUUGAGCCCUUGAAGGCUGUGAGCCACUUGACCACUGCUCUUUACUGGAUGAACCACUCCUGCUUGUUUAUCUUCCCUACUUUUUCAUGCUCUGGACUAUCAGUAAGAAUUACUCAAAUAAUUCGAAGCUCAUGCCUGAGAGAAAAGCUGUAGCUGAAAGCCCAGGGCUGGGAUCACCCACUGGCUCCGGGAGGCACUGGGGAAGUGUCAACUGGAUGAGGAGAACGAGGAGUCCUUUGGAAGAUUGGAAUAUUUUCCCAUUUGCUCCAGUCCUCUCUGCCUGGCAGUGGUGGCUGCCCCUGAGCCCGCCCUGGGAACGCUCUCCCCACACUCAGUGUACAUUGGCAGCCACUCUGCUUCCCACCCUGAGAACAUCCCACUCUGCUGCAGCACAACUGUGGGAGUUUGGCUUUGUUUGUUUUCCUUCCCCCCCAGGAGGAGGUUGUUCCCGAAAAUGCUCCCAGUGAUUCUCACCUCAGGAUUGCUGCUUCAGUGAAAUGUACCCAAUUCUCUGGGAAGGGCUGGCUUUGAUGACUACUCAGAUUUGAAGGAAUUCUGGAAGAAAUUAUUGAACCAGGACUUUUCAACAUUCUCAUAAAGAAAUAUGUGUUUCUCAUUUGAAGGUGACUUUCUAAUUUGGAAUUGGAAUAGUAUUUUCUUUAGAUAGGAAAUAGUCCAAUUCUGAAAUAGCAAUGUUAUAUAUCUCUAUUAACCUGAUAUCAUUAUGGAAUGUAUAAUUUACAGUUAUUAUGGCAAAAGGAAAAUAUUUGAGAUAAUUCCUUUUAAAACAAAAAUCUGUUGAGAGAAGUGAUUCAGAAAUUUCAAGAAGCCUUGAAUGUAAGAAAAUCUUUUUCCCUUCUCUUUCAAGUACCAUUUGCUUGAAUGCUAUUUAAUGUUGGUUUUACAUUUGGCUGAAUUUCCUCUGUUUUAAAGACUUUUAAUUUGCAUUAAAAAAAAAAAAAGCUUGGAAAUCCAUGUGGUGGCCACUGAGGACUUGCACUAUGGAAAAAUGUUGCUAGGAGCUGGAGAUCCAAGAAAUCAAACACAAGAAAACUGCUCCUGGAAGUCCAGGAAUAGGAAGAAUGAGGAGAUCAUGCUGGGGCCUGGACAUUUGGUGUCAAGGGAUGUGGAAUAUGGAUAUCAGGGUUUAGGGACACUGGAGCAGAGAGGGCAGCCACCAGUGAUUAGAAGGAUAAUUGUACCAGGACAGAGAGAAAUAAAAACAAGAAGGAAGGGGAGUUUAUUGCUAGCAGUUUGUGUUGGUGCUGUAUUUCUAAGGAGACCAUGAGUAUGGGCUAACUCAGCAUGAGAUCAAACAGCAGUGCCUGCUUUAAUGCUUUUUUGCCCCCCCUAAAGACUGCUUAUUAGCAGUUUAUUUAAAAUAAUGAAAUCUGAGUUGUCAGUUUAUUCAGGCUAAAUUUUAACAUGGAUUUCUGUGCAAAGGCAGAAUCACUUCUGAGCUAAAAUCAUGUAUGAACUCUGCAACCCUUUGGCUUCUCUUUGUCAGCUUUCCCAGAUAAAAAUGGGUUUGCUUUUAGGAAUGACCUCUCUCAUUUUCAGGUACUUUGUGAUCUGUUGCCAGGCCAUUGGUUCACUAGUGUGGGUUUCCUGACAAUGGUUAGGAAGCAAAGGACAGACCUUUAAAGAAAAGACACCAAUGCACACACCAGUUACCCACACUGCAGCUUUUAGGAAGGUUUUUGCACCAAGCCUGUUUUGACUUAUGUAGAUUUUUGCUCUAGAUUUUAGUCAGAAACUGAACUCAGUAGACUUGUCUAUCCUGAACUGUACAUCUGAAGGAACAGACUCAGAAUUUUAGUCUGCAGCUGAUACUUGUGGUUGUGUCCACCAUAUCUCAAGACCAAAUUGCAGUUCAUAUGUGAACACCCUCUUAGCAUGCAGAGAUUUAGCAUGAGCUUUUUUGCAAUAACCCCUCAAUGCUUGGUUUAACAUGUUAUUUUUAAACUUGGAAACAAAACCAUCCAAGUUGCAUAUUCACAGACAUAAA